This is a long non-coding RNA of Solanum lycopersicum (tomato), 1179 nucleotides long. RefSeq lists it as uncharacterized. NCBI's taxonomy places the organism in Eukaryota, Viridiplantae, Streptophyta, Magnoliopsida, Solanales, Solanaceae. The record is from RefSeq and is a predicted model, not a curated record.
AUAUUGAAUAUAAAAGAAAAGGGGAAGCGCUAGUCAAUUCAAAAUGUUGAUCCUCCAUUGUCAGUUCCUAAUGCAUAUCUAAACAGUUUCUUCUUGGUAUUCUUGAAGUAGAAGAAGACUACGACCUAGAAAAGGUGUUCAACUUUGGCGAAUUCAUCGGGGUUGGAGAAUAAUCAAACCGAAAAAUUGAAUGUUGGAGCGAAGAAACAACCGGUACUUUCUUAUAUGACGAAUCAUAUAAAAAUGGGAUUUCUCAUUCCUCCAAACUUUUCAGAGUAAACAGGAAAUCAAGAAACCGAAGUAUGUGCAAGAUUCUGUUGGAUCUUGUUCACAUUUGAAACAAGUGAAUGGCUUAGAGGAAUGAAAAGUUGUCUGCUGCGCAGUUAGAAAUGACUAAUAGGGAGAACCUGGUGAAACAGCACGCUAAAGUUUAAGCUGUCUCAGGUGAUGCUUACUGCUGAAAACAGGGCAUCACAUUUGGAUGGUGCACUGAAGGAGUGGAUGCGGCAGAUACGUAAUUUGAAAGAAGAGCAUGAUGUGAUUCAGAAUAAAGCCAAACAGUUUGACAUAAUGAAGCAUGAGUUUGAAGCAAAGAUAGCUAACUUGGACCAGAUAUUUCAUUUGAUAGUGUGCAGAAGUUCCAUAAAGAGGAAACAAAGAUAUUGAAAGAAGCUUUGGCACACCAAAACAGUGAAUUACAAGCAUCCAGGAGUAUUUUUUGCAAGACAUCCAGCAAGCUUCUGAGUUUGGAUGCACAGCUGCAACCAAAAUUUGAAUAGAAAAGCCCACAAAAGUCCACCAUUCGACAAGGUUGGCUUCCAUGUCAACAAUUACAUAUUGUAGGUCAAGUUAUUGUAAAUGUGGACAGAAUAAAGGAAAUAGUUUUACAAUUACAUACUGUAGUGUCAAAGUUUUUGUAGUGACCUUGCAAAUGUAUAUGUAUUGUUCAGUAAUGUGAGUUUCCCUCUAUCUCUUGCAAUGUUACCUGAUAUUCUGUUCAUGGAUAGGUCUAAUAUGUUAAGACCAGCGAGGGACACGAAAGAGGAAGGAACUGUUACUUGAAGAUUGUUUCCAUUAAGAUUAACCAUUUCUAGUGGUGGACAGUUGCCAAUAGCUGGAGAUUGUUUCGAUUUUCUUAUCUAUUUUAUUUUCAAUUAAUAUACUUGAAGAUUGUUUCAA